Molecule: ribosomal RNA, 403 nt
Filed under: uncultured bacterium
Lineage: Bacteria
Description: partial 16S ribosomal RNA
Rfam family: Bacterial small subunit ribosomal RNA
Source: RNAcentral
GACGAACGCUGGCGGCGUGCCUAAUACAUGCAAGUCGAACGCAGUGGGGACGGGUGAGUAACACGUGGGUAACCUCCCAUCAGAGGGGAUAACACUUGGAAACAGGUGCUAAACCGAUACUGAUGGAUGAACCCGCGGUGCAUUAGCUAGUUGGUGGGGUAACGGCUCACCAAGGCCACGAUGCAUAGCCAACCGCAUAGGUUGAGCGGCCACACUGGGACUGAGACACGGCCCAGACUCCAACGGGAGGCACCAGUAGGGAAUCUUGGGCAAUGGACGAAAGACUGACCAAGCACCGCCGCGUGUGUGAAGAAGGUUUUCGGAUCGUAAAGCUCUGUUGUAAGAGAGGCGGUAUCUAACCAGAAAGCCACGGCUAACUACGUGCCAGCAGCCGCGGUAAUAC